AGGUCCGAGAGACACACCAACUUUAAGCAGAAGAAGAUGAGAGGUUCCGAAAGAAAGAAGGCAUGGCCGUCAAUGACAACAUGUACUGUUGCCAUCAACAUGUUGCAGAACUACCAAAUCUGGAAAAGCUAGUUUGUGAGAAAAUGGGUAACAUCAGAACACUUGUAUGUGAAGAACACCACCAACUUGUCAUUUCCAACCUCUGCAUCUGACUACUUCCAGGGGGAGAGAAAAGGCCAAAUCAUGCUUCUUCCUUUGUUGCCUCUGCCCAGAAGAUGAUCAUCAUGGUAUUAUCCAAUUAGCAGACUUUAUGGUGAAGUAUGGAUUCGGAAAAUGCCAGAGUCGGAGCAAAUUCAGUGGUUAAAUACCUUGCAGCUUUUAAUUCCAUAGACUGAAUUAGCCAUAACAACGUUCAGUUCAAUGGUGAUGAACAAGCGGAAGAAGUUUUCAAUUCUUUCCAAGAUACAGGUCAGAGAGAGGCACCUACUAAACCGGAUCAUCAUUCCAGAACUUUGUUGACUCUUGGUGACAGAGAAAGUAGAGAUCGAAAGAUCAAAGAGAUGUUCAGUGGUCCAUAGCCUAUUAGUGAAGAAGAAACAGCACAAAGAGAUGUUCAGUGGUCCGAA
This is a long non-coding RNA of Rosa rugosa (rugosa rose), 626 nucleotides long. RefSeq lists it as uncharacterized. The record is from RefSeq and is a predicted model, not a curated record. The transcript has 3 exons. Lineage: Eukaryota; Viridiplantae; Streptophyta; Magnoliopsida; Rosales; Rosaceae.